Heterocephalus glaber (naked mole-rat) is the source of this 46-nucleotide non-coding RNA. The record is from Rfam. Lineage: Eukaryota; Metazoa; Chordata; Mammalia; Rodentia; Bathyergidae.
CCAAAGGCUCUUUUCAGAGCCAACUACGUGUUUGUAAAAGGUGUGU